GUGAGCCAGUACAGGAUGGACCCGCGUCUGAUUAGCUAGUUGGUAAGGUAACGGCUUACCAAGGCGACGAUCAGUAGCCGACCUGAGAGGGUGAUCGGCCACAUUGGAACUGAGACACGGUCCAAACUCCUACGGGAGGCAGCAGUGGGGAAUAUUGCACAAUGGGCGAAAGCCUGAUGCAGCAACGCCGCGUGAGUGAUGAAGGCCGUCGGGUCGUAAAACUCUGUCCUCAAGGAAGAUAAUGACGGUACUUGAGGAGGAAGCCCCGGCUAACUACGUGCCAGCAGCCGCGGUAAUACGUAGGGGGCUAGCGUUAUCCGGAUUUACUGGGCGUA
RNAcentral lists this ribosomal RNA (335 nucleotides) under Clostridioides difficile. RNAcentral describes it as "bacterial SSU rRNA". It matches the Rfam family "Bacterial small subunit ribosomal RNA", at positions 210 to 562 of the family's 1533-position model. Lineage: Bacteria; Bacillati; Bacillota; Clostridia; Peptostreptococcales; Peptostreptococcaceae. The record is from RNAcentral.